AGGGGCGUGGCCAAGUGGUAAGGCACCUGCUUUUGGUGCAGGUCAUCGUAGGUUCGAAUCCUUCCGCCCCUGCCA
RNAcentral lists this transfer RNA (75 nucleotides) under Candidatus Hydrogenedentota bacterium. RNAcentral's name for it is "tRNA-Gln". It matches the Rfam family "tRNA". From Rfam's summary of the family: Transfer RNA (tRNA) molecules are approximately 80 nucleotides in length. Their secondary structure includes four short double-helical elements and three loops (D, anti-codon, and T loops). Lineage: Bacteria; Pseudomonadati; Candidatus Hydrogenedentota. The record is from RNAcentral.